RNAcentral lists this ribosomal RNA (253 nucleotides) under uncultured bacterium. Its description in RNAcentral is "partial 16S ribosomal RNA". It matches the Rfam family "Bacterial small subunit ribosomal RNA", at positions 524 to 776 of the family's 1533-position model. The record is from RNAcentral.
UACAGAGGUCCCAAGCGUUGUUCGGAUUCAUUGGGCGUAAAGGGUGCGUAGGCGGCGCGGUAAGUCGGGUGUGAAAUCUCGGGGCUUAACUCCGAAACUGUAUUCGAUACUGCCGUGCUUGAGGACUGGAGAGGAGACUGGAAUUUACGGUGUAGCGGUGAAAUGCGUAGAUAUCGUAAGGAAGACCAGUGGCGAAGGCGGCUCACUGGCCCGAUACUGACGCUGAGGCACGAAAGCGUGGGGAGCAAACAGG